This 250-nucleotide ribosomal RNA is filed under the name uncultured bacterium. RNAcentral describes it as "partial 16S ribosomal RNA". It matches the Rfam family "Bacterial small subunit ribosomal RNA", at positions 524 to 773 of the family's 1533-position model. The record is from RNAcentral.
UACGGGGGGGGCAAGCGUUGUUCGGAAUUACUGGGCGUAAAGGGUGCGUAGGCGGUUCGUUAAGUUAGAUGUGAAAACUCUGGGCUCAACCCAGAACCUGCAUCUAAAACUGGCGGGCUAGAGUUCUGGAGGGGGUAGCGGAAUCCCUGGUGUAGCGGUGAAAUGCGUAGAUAUCAGGAGGAACACCGGUGGCGAAGGCGGCUACCUGGACAGAAACUGACGCUGAGGCACGAAAGCUAGGGGAGCAAAC